GACGAACGCUGGCGGCGUGCUUAACACAUGCAAGUCGAACGAUGAACCCGGAGCUUGCUCCGGUGGAUUAGUGGCGAACGGGUGAGUAACACGUGAGUAACCUGCCCUUGACUCUGGGAUAACUGCGGGAAACUGUAGCUAAUACCGGAUACGACCCUCGGCGGCAUCGCCAGGGGGUGGAAAGAAUUUCGGUCAAGGAUGGGCUCGCGGCCUAUCAGCUAGGUGGGGAGGUAACGGCUCACCAAGGCGGCGACGGGUAGCCGGCCUGGGAGGGUUGCCGGCCACACCGGGGCCGGGGCACCGGCCAGACUCCUACGGGAGGCAGCAGUGGGGAAUAUUGCACAAUGGGCGCAAGCCUGAUGCAGCAACGCCGCGUGAGGGAUGACGGCCUUCGGGUUGUAAACCUCUUUUAGUAGGGAAGAAGCGAAAGUGACGGUACCUGCAGAAAAAGCACCGGCUAACUACGUGCCAGCCGCCGCGGUAA
This 484-nucleotide ribosomal RNA is filed under the name uncultured bacterium. RNAcentral describes it as "partial 16S ribosomal RNA". It matches the Rfam family "Bacterial small subunit ribosomal RNA", at positions 28 to 523 of the family's 1533-position model. The record is from RNAcentral.